This 253-nucleotide ribosomal RNA is filed under the name uncultured bacterium. Its description in RNAcentral is "partial 16S ribosomal RNA". It matches the Rfam family "Bacterial small subunit ribosomal RNA", at positions 524 to 776 of the family's 1533-position model. The record is from RNAcentral.
GACGAACCACACAAACGUUAUUCGGAAUUACUGGGCUUAAAGGGUGCGUAGGCGGCGCAGAAAGUAGGGUGUGAAAUCUUGGAGCUUAACUCCGAAACUGCAUUCGAUACUGCCGUGCUUGAGGACUGGAGAGGAGACUGGAAUUUACGGUGUAGCGGUGAAAUGCGUAGAUAUCGUAAGGAAGACCAGUGGCGAAGGCGGGUCACUGGCCCGGUACUGACGCUGAGGUGCGAAAGCGUGGGGAGCAAACAGG